This is a long non-coding RNA of Etheostoma cragini (Arkansas darter), 293 nucleotides long. RefSeq lists it as uncharacterized. The record is from RefSeq and is a predicted model, not a curated record. NCBI's taxonomy places the organism in Eukaryota, Metazoa, Chordata, Actinopteri, Perciformes, Percidae. The transcript has 3 exons.
GAUUUCAGUCGGCUGACUGCUCCUGAUAGAACUCAUCCUGAUCCAUCAUCUGCCCUCAGAUGCCAGUCUGACUUUCUUCUCCCUGCCGGAUUGUUGCUUUCCACUGAAAGGAACCCACAUUCGGAAUCCUCUCCUGCCAAUAGCCAUGCAACACACUGAAACAUCAAGUCUGCAGCCACACUGAGGAACACAGCCCAGAACCCCCUCAAGCCAGUCCAGCCAUCUUCGUACCCAGCACCGUAACUGCCAGCCCAUACUCACAGCUUCCCCUUCUGCCAGCCCAGGAAUCUUCU